UUUUAAUCUUAUCGGUGGAUCACUCGGCUCGUGGGUCGAUGAAGAGCGCAGCUAACUGCGAUAACUAGUGUGAACCGCAGAAACAUUGAACACUAAAGUCUCGAAUGCACAUUGCGCCAUUGGAGUCAUAUCCAUUGGAGCGCCUGGUUCAGGGUCAUAA
This 160-nucleotide ribosomal RNA is filed under the name Pratylenchus zeae. RNAcentral's name for it is "5.8S ribosomal RNA". It matches the Rfam family "5.8S ribosomal RNA". Rfam says of the family: 5.8S ribosomal RNA (5.8S rRNA) is a component of the large subunit of the eukaryotic ribosome. It is transcribed by RNA polymerase I as part of the 45S precursor that also contains 18S and 28S rRNA. The record is from RNAcentral. Lineage: Eukaryota; Metazoa; Nematoda; Chromadorea; Rhabditida; Pratylenchidae.